Molecule: ribosomal RNA, 393 nt
Filed under: uncultured bacterium
Lineage: Bacteria
Description: partial 16S ribosomal RNA
Rfam family: Bacterial small subunit ribosomal RNA
Source: RNAcentral
AUACGGAGGAUCCAAGCGUUAUCCGGAUUUAUUGGGUUUAAAGGGUGCGUAGGCGGACUGGUAAGUCAGCUGUGAAAGUUUGCGGCUUAACCGUAAAAUUGCAGUUGAUACUGUCAGUCUUGAGUGUGCAUGAGGUGGGCGGAAUUUGUGGUGUAGCGGUGAAAUGCUUAGAUAUCACGAGGAACUCCAAUUGCGAAGGCAGCUCACUGGGGCAUAACUGACGCUGAUGCACGAAGGUGUGGGUAUCAAACAGGAUUAGAUACCCUGGUAGUCCGCACAGUAAACGAUGAAUACUCGCUGUUUGCGAUACACGGUAAGCGGCCAAGCGAAAGCGUUAAGUAUUCCACCUGGGGAGUACGCCGGCAACGGUGAAACUCAAAUGAAUUGACGGGG